CCGGGACCUGCGGCGUCGCCGGCGGGUUGCCUCCGCCCUCGGACCAGCCCCGCGCGAGCCGGGCUCCCCCGGCGCCCUCCCGCAUCCGCCGCUCCCGGCCCCGCCUGGCCGCAGGGCCCGGGUAGGAAGGACGGGACCGGCCCGGUGGAGACCUGGCCCCACUGCACGAGGGUCCCUGGAGAUGCCAUUCUGAGCCGAGAAGCGGCUGCUCUGGCCGAGGCCGUUUGCGUGGCAGCGCUUGCAGGUCUGCGGCAGACCACCCACCGCGAUCAUCUGGCUUUGUUCUUACAGAAGCCAGGUUGAAGCUACCCCAUACCCAAGUAGCCCCAUCCAAUGGGAAAUUCCAAAUCAAGGCCUCCAAAGAGCUCGGUUCCCAAAAGCCAGUCAAACCACAGUGGAAGCCUCCCCCGUGUUCUACAUCCUGUGCCCU
Molecule: long non-coding RNA, 430 nt
Filed under: Theropithecus gelada (gelada)
Lineage: Eukaryota; Metazoa; Chordata; Mammalia; Primates; Cercopithecidae
Description: lncRNA (ENSTGEG00000011134.1)
Source: RNAcentral